Molecule: ribosomal RNA, 227 nt
Filed under: Klebsiella pneumoniae
Lineage: Bacteria; Pseudomonadati; Pseudomonadota; Gammaproteobacteria; Enterobacterales; Enterobacteriaceae
Description: partial 16S ribosomal RNA
Rfam family: Bacterial small subunit ribosomal RNA
Source: RNAcentral
UCCAUGAAGUCGGAAUCGCUAGUAAUCGUAGAUCAGAAUGCUACGGUGAAUACGUUCCCGGGCCUUGUACACACCGCCCGUCACACCAUGGGAGUGGGUUGCAAAAGAAGUAGGUAGCUUAACCUUCGGGAGGGCGCUUACCACUUUGUGAUUCAUGACUGGGGUGAAGUCGUAACAAGGUAACCGUAGGGGAACCUGCGGUUGGAUCACCUCCUUACCUUAAAGAA